RNAcentral lists this ribosomal RNA (465 nucleotides) under uncultured bacterium. Its description in RNAcentral is "partial 16S ribosomal RNA". It matches the Rfam family "Bacterial small subunit ribosomal RNA", at positions 28 to 507 of the family's 1533-position model. The record is from RNAcentral.
GACGAACGCUGGCGGCGUGCUUAACACAUGCCAGUCGAACGGUGAACUCCGCUUGCGGGGGGAUCAGUGGCGAACGGGUGAGUAACACGUGGGCAACCUGCCCUCAGCUCUGGGAUAACUCCAAGAAAUUGGGGCUAAUACCGGAUAUGACCGCUGACCGCAUGGUCUGGUGGUGGAAAGAUUUAUCGGCUGGGGAUGGGCCCGCGGCCUAUCAGCUUGUUGGUGGGGUAGUGGCCUACCAAGGCGACGACGGGUAGCCGGCCUGAGAGGGUGACCGGCCACACUGGGACUGAGACACGGCCCAGACUCCUACGGGAGGCAGCAGUGGGGAAUAUUGCGCAAUGGGCGAAAGCCUGACGCAGCGACGCCGCGUGGGGGAUGACGGCCUUCGGGUUGUAAACCUCUUUCAGCAGGGACGAAGCGAAAGUGACGGUACCUGCAGAAGAAGCACCGGCCAACUACGUG